CCCUUAGAUGUUCUGGGCCGCACGCGCGCUACACUGUUCGACGCAGCGAGUCUUAACCUUGACCGAAAGGUUUGGGUAAUCUUCAGCAAAGUCGAACGUGAUGGGGAUCGAUCAUUGCAAUUAUUGAUCGUGAACGAGGAAUUCCUAGUAAGUGCAAGUCAUCAGCUUGCGCUGAUUACGUCCCUGCCCUUUGUACACACCGCCCGUCGCUACUACCGAUUGAAUGGUUUAGUGAGAUCUCUGGAUUGACGCUGGCUAGGGGGCGACCCUGGGCCAGACUGUUGGGAAACUGCUCAAACUUGAUCAUUUAGAGGAAGUAAAAGUCGUAACA
RNAcentral lists this ribosomal RNA (331 nucleotides) under uncultured eukaryote. Its description in RNAcentral is "partial 18S ribosomal RNA". It matches the Rfam family "Eukaryotic small subunit ribosomal RNA", at positions 1470 to 1796 of the family's 1831-position model. The record is from RNAcentral.